AGGAUGAACGCUAGCGACAGGCCUAACACAUGCAAGUCAGGGGCAGCACAAGGAGCAAUCUGAGGUGGCGACCGGCGCACGGGUGAGUAACACGUAUGCAACCUGCCUGUAAGCGGGGAAUAACCCGUUGAAAGACGGACUAAUACCGCAUAAUACUAAAUUACUGCAUGGUAAUUUAUUUAAACAUUUAUGGCUUACAGAUGGGCAUGCGCAUGAUUAGCUAGUUGGAGAGGUAACGGCUCCCCAAGGCAACGAUCAUUAGGGGUUCUGAGAGGAAGGUCCCCCACACUGGUACUGAGACACGGACCAGACUCCUACGGGAGGCAGCAGUGAGGAAUAUUGGUCAAUGGACGAGAGUCUGAACCAGCCAAGUCGCGUGCAGGAAGAAUGUUCCCUAUGGAUUGUAAACUGCUUUUGCAGGGGAAUAAAGUGCAUCACGUGUGAUGUUUUGUAUGUACUCUGCGAAUAAGGAUCGGCUAACUCCGUGCCAGCCGCCGC
Molecule: ribosomal RNA, 498 nt
Filed under: uncultured bacterium
Lineage: Bacteria
Description: bacterial SSU rRNA
Rfam family: Bacterial small subunit ribosomal RNA
Source: RNAcentral